GACGAACGCUGGCGGCGUGCCUAAUACAUGCAAGUUGAGCGCUGACGGUUGGUACUUGUACCAACUGGAUGAGCAGCGAACGGGUGAGUAACGCGUGGGGAAUCUGCCUUUGAGCGGGGGACAACAUUUGGAAACGAAUGCUAAUACCGCAUAAAAACUUUAAACACAAGUUUUAAGUUUGAAAGAUGCAAUUGCCUCACUCAAAGAUGAUCCCGCGUUGUAUUAGCUAGUUGGUGAGGUAAAGGCUCACCAAGGCGAUGAUACAUCGCCGACCUGAGAGGGUGAUCGGCCACAUUGGGACUUGAACACGGCCCAAACUCCUACGGGGGGGAGUAGUAGGGAAUCUUCGGCAAUGGACGAAAGGCUGACCGAACAACGCCGCGGGAGUGGAGAAGGUUUUCGGAUCGGAAAACUCGGUUGGUAGAGAAGAACGUUGGUGAGAGUGGAAAGCUCAUCAAGUGACGGUAACUACCCAGAAAGGGACGGCUAACUACGUG
This 497-nucleotide ribosomal RNA is filed under the name uncultured bacterium. RNAcentral describes it as "partial 16S ribosomal RNA". It matches the Rfam family "Bacterial small subunit ribosomal RNA", at positions 28 to 507 of the family's 1533-position model. The record is from RNAcentral.